This 373-nucleotide ribosomal RNA is filed under the name uncultured bacterium. Its description in RNAcentral is "bacterial SSU rRNA". It matches the Rfam family "Bacterial small subunit ribosomal RNA", at positions 28 to 402 of the family's 1533-position model. The record is from RNAcentral.
GACGAACGCUGGCGGCGUGCUUAACACAUGCAAGUCGAGCGGUAAGGCCCUUUCGGGGGUACACGAGCGGCGAACGGGUGAGUAACACGUGGGCGACCUACCCUCAGCUUCGGGAUAAGCCUGGGAAACUGGGUCUAAUACCGGAUAUGACCUUCCCUCGCAUGGGGGGUUGGUGGAAAGUUUUUUCGGCUGGGGAUGGGCCCGCGGCCUAUCAGCUUGUUGGUGGGGUGAUGGCCUACCAAGGCGACGACGGGAGCCGGCCUGAGAGGGCGACCGGCCACACUGGGACUGAGAUACGGCCCAGACUCCUACGGGAGGCAGCAGUGGGGAAUAUUGCGCAAGUGGGCGGAAGCCUGACGCAGCGACGCCGCGU